Salmo salar (Atlantic salmon) is the source of this 5375-nucleotide non-coding RNA. Lineage: Eukaryota; Metazoa; Chordata; Actinopteri; Salmoniformes; Salmonidae. The record is from RefSeq and is a predicted model, not a curated record.
GAAAAUGGCUCAGACGAGCCUACGUUGGUGUUUUCCUUAUUUAAUCAAACUAGAUGAAGAGAGUUGUUUAGCACAUAGACUCAACUAGAGUAAGUAAAGCCUUUAUUUAGCAGUAACCCACAGUAGACCACGGCCUUGAGGAGAUGAUGAUGGUGAAGGGUAUCUCUUACUGUUGCCCAGGAAAAUGACGGGCUCUUUGGAAACAAGCAAACUUGUCUUGUCAUCUGCCAUCUCCACGACCUGCUUGCCCUCCAUCUCACUAUUCCGAAUCCGAGGUGAAAAUCUCGAGGAAGCCUCCUCAACUGCACGAGCAACUCUAAGGAAAGUGUCCGCGACUGUCCACGUGAAGAAGGCCCGGUGCGCGGUGGUAAGGGGAGGCCAAACUUCGAAAAUAUUGAAAGCUUUAUUUUUUCGCUCCCGCUUUCUAUUCGCUCCCCUAAACAGCGAUAACUUCUCUAUGACCCCAAAGUGACACCGUUUCCAUUUUGUUUCUGAUUAAUCUUGCCCAUUGACAGUCUUUGUUAAACAACAAGGCGUGCCCUUCUCCAAAGAGGCGACAUUUUCAUAUUUGUUAGACGCAGUGACCUGAAGUUCACCCCGGACUUGGACUUCGGUUUUCGGGUCUACUCGACUCUGGGGAGAUAACGGUGCACUUAGUACGGGUCAGCACCCAACAGCGCCCCAAAAAUAAUAUAUAUAUAUUUUUUAAACAGUACAAAACCCACGUAAGUCCACCUUAAAAAGACUUACGUCGAUUGUGGCACUCCUGUGGCGAUGUUAGCCAACUGAAGGGACGUUUCAUUGUAUCCAUGUCAAGGUUUGAUUUAGAAGGAUAUACAUAUUUAUUCAAUUUGUAUCAUACUGUUAGGCUUAUGUUAUUGUUGCUCAUCUAGGCUCCUGCUUUUCCUGUUCAAAAAGGUCCUGCUCCGAGCUUUGUAUGUGUAAGACGGAAAUGAAAGCCAUCUCUAUGGGAUUUGUAUUUUUGUCAGAUAUAGGCCUAUGGCAUUAUACGCAUCUAAAUAGCCAAAGUUGACAGGUGUUAUAUUACGAUUUAAUGUAUUCUGCACCUGUAACUCAUCGUGAAUGACAAGGGGGGAUAUUUUAUUCUCAAGAUCUGGCCUCCAGAACGCAUGUAGCCAAGACCACCUGAGAGCCUAUCUAUCAGCAUAAUAUCCAAGGUAAGAAUACUUGACUUGAUAUCUAAAUCACAUUCACCCACCCACCACUUAUGCUGCUGCCAUAUGGUGUAUUAUUAUUGUUAUUUAUCCUGCUACCAGUCACUUUCUCCUGAUCCCUGCCUACAUGUAAGCUACAUAUCUACCUCAACUACUUCAGUAUCCCUGCACAUUGUAAAUGUGGUACUAACACUGACCCUGAAUAUAGCUGACAUUCUCAACAACAACAAAAAUUCUGUCUCAUAUUUCUUAUUUCUCUUCUUUUUUUUUAUAGUACUUUGAUAUUAAAUAUUGCAUUGUUGGGAAGGGCUAGCAAUUUAACCAUUUCACUGUACUUGUGCAUGUGACAAAUAAAUAUGAAACAUGAAAUGUACAGUCAGUGUGUUAUAUAUAUAUAAAUAUGGGCAGGGUUGGCUGUUAUCCACUCUCUAGCCAUACAGUAGCCUACCCUGAAUGAGACACCGGCUAAGUCGGCGAUGCUUUACAGCUAUUUACAGUUGAUUGCGUUUAAUACACUGCUUUUUUCAUUUAACAGGCACUUACUAUAGUCAUGUUUCAUUUAACAUCUUGAGAUGGGAAAACGUGUUCAUUCUGAAGUUCAACAUGUUUUUUUUAUGACCUAAUGUUAAACUUAGGUGAAAUCACAAGUUUUCUUUUGCCACUUCUCAAACGUGAUGAUCUAAUAAACUUUUCAGCGACUUAAAUAUGCUAUUUAAACAACCACAUUCAGUGUUUUACGAUUUUAGAUGGAAAUUGUGAAAUAUGAUAAAUUGACUUUCACAAUAUCAAAAAUAGAAGCAUUAAUAUAUAUGGGAGUGGUACCAAUCUUAAUUUUGCAAUGUGGCUUAGGCUAUGGCAACGUUUCUGUAACAAUUAUUCUAAAUUAAACUCGUCCAAGGCAUCUAAAUUAAUUAGCAAAGAGAGCAAAAAGUCUAGUUAUAAGUAGGAAAAAUCUGGCCAACUAUUCCAUUCAUUUGCUAAGGUAAUGUGUGAGAAACAAGUGUAUUGCCACUCCUUCGGUCCUUCCCAAAUAUAACGAAUAUAAUAUAUAUAUAUCAAACUGACCCAGUGCUGUAAAUGUAGACAGUAAGAAAAGUGUUCUGAUGAUAGUGACUGAACACACAUGGCAGCUACAAGGCCCCUUGUCUGUUAGGAGGACCAGGCUGCAGAGGAAAAUAUUCACUAGGUGGUUAAGGUAAGGGUGCAAAUUAUUGUUGCAAAUAUAAGGAUUUUAAUCAUGCCACAUGUUGUGAGUUUUGUAUAACAUAACGAUAUAUCGAUAUGUUUGCUCAAACAGGAAGGCCACCAACAGAGCUCCUUGCACGUUCAGUACACCUUAAGAGGAAGAUGGGUGGGUGAAAUAGUGUAUUACUUUGAACAUGUUGUUUAAGUUGUCGUCUUAAAAAUAGGACAUAAAUCAAAGCAAAAGCAACUGCAUCAAGCGAGUGUUUUAUGGAGAUUUUAGUGAUACACAAACGUUUCGAACAACAAGGCCUUAGUUAGGUCUGUGUUAUCAAAGCAUACUAUUUUGCCCAAUCCGUAUCUUCUAAACUUACACGACAGAACAUAUACUAAAUGUUCUUCAAUAAACAGUUGUUAGAAUUGUGCCAUAACCCAAUUCGUUAUCUCCUAAAAGAAACAGUUCACUUGCGGGAGCUAUUUCCUUAUUUAUUUAUGAUAAAGACACACCACCAAUUGCCAUAUUAUUCCUUUAGCUCUUGACUCUUUUUAAAUAAAUGAACAUUGAAUAACCAAUAGUUAGGCUAUUUUAUAGUAGGCCACUUGUUUGUUUAACAAAACGAAAUAUGAAUGAACAAUUUGGGAAUAAAUUGUUACUGACAUGGCUAAGGCAGAUCUCACAAUUUCGAGUGCACAGUUUCAUUAGACGUUUUUAGGAGAAUAGCCUACAUUAGCCUACAUGUUGCCAUGUCUUGAAAACCAAUUGUAUCUAUUACAAUAUAGGCUAGGUGCAUAUUUUCAGAAAAACUAUCCCCAUGAAAGCGCAUUGGGUUCGCAGUUUUCAUGUAGAAUUAGAUAAGGAUGGAGCUCAUAUUCUCACAGUCUUACGGGAAAGGAGAGCGCCUGUGUUCGAUCUCUUUAUGCAGCUCCAUCCCUUUAGAAGCUUCAUACCCUAAAGCCUAACACAUUUUCAAAACCUAAUACAAUUAUAACGGUGUUUUUGUUCUUAUUAAGAAAAGGUUAUAACGGUUUACUGUUUUCAUUAUUAUUAUUAUGAUUUUUACAUAUUCCUUCUUUGUAACCAAAAUCAACUUGUGGGUGACUUUUUGUAAGGCUAAAAACAAGACGUGUUCCUAAGCAGAGGGAGAGAAAGACUAAAUGUUUUUUAAGGAGUCCGGGGGCUCCAUUUGGGGGGCUGUGACCAUAGCCUACCCAUCACCCUAUGACCGGGGUAAGAAUAUCAAUCCUCAAAAUGCUAAUUUUGCCCUUGUCCCUAAACAUAACCAAUGCAAUUUAUUCAAAGGAAAUUCACCAAUCCACAGCCUUAAUAAAAUGCUGGCCACUCAAUCUUGGGUCUGGGGACGGGCGGGGGUCCACUCCCCUCGGUCCCUAACUCGGGGUCACCCCGCUUUCAGGGUUCACCUGGAGUGCACCGUCAAACAUAUGUAAUUCAAAGCUAUUCUAUCUUUUGUGUGGAGAGUCAAGAUCGCUAUUAUAACGCUGGCAUCAGGCCCCGGAUGAACAGAUGAAGGAGACUUGUUCAGCGGGUAAACUUUUGACCCCAAUUUUUCCUCCUCUUCCCCGCUAUCUCGAGUUCAUCAGUCCCACCCCUGCGAGGCUGUGCUGCACAGGCGAGGUUUCUGGCUGCUCGGGACGAAAAAUGUAUUUGCUCUAUAUUCAUUUCUGUUAUCAUUACUGUAAUUAUUCUCAUGAAUAUUACAAUUAAUGGUAUCCUAUAGUAACAAUAAAGGCAGGCCUAUAACAGAAUAACUGUAGUUGUAUCUCCGUACUGUCUCACUGUGGGUUUUGGUUACAAUACACCGCUCUGCAUACCUCUAAUACAGUAUGUAAAUGAUAUUUCAGUAACAGGCCCGAGGGGUUGUGGUAUAUGGUCAAUAUGACACGGCUGAGGGCUGUUCUUACUCACGAAGCAACGCGGAGUGCCUGGUUACAGCCCUUAGCCGUGGUAUAUUGGCCAUAUACCACAAACCCCAUAGGUGCCUUAUUGCUAUUAUAAACUGGUUACCGACAUAAUUAGAGCAGUAAAAAUAAAUGUUUUGUCAUACCAGUGGUAUAUGGUCUGAUAUACCACGGCUGUCAGCCAAUCAGCAUUCAGUGCUCGAACCACCCAGUUUAUAAUGACAUUUUAGUCAUUUAGCAGGCCCUCUUAUCCAGAACACCUUACGUUAUUCAGUCGUUUGUAUCAAGCGAACCACUCAGGGAUGCAUGUGUGUCCUUCAUACUUGUGUGUGCCUCACAUCUACCUACUAUGCAGUACUGCUAAAAUGUACCACAGGCUAUCCAAAAAAAACCUAAUGUAAUAUGCAAAUGUUAUUUUUCCACUGCAAUGUGUAUUAAGGCAAGCAAACCGGUCAAGUAUAUGUGUGUCCUAUCCUACUAUCGUGUGUGUCUGUGUGUGUGUGUGUGUGUGUGUGUGUGUGUGUGUGUGUGUAUGUGUGUGUGUAUAUAUAUAUGUGUGUGUGUGUGUCUCCUCCUAUCAGAAUCUGGCUGCGGAUGACACUGAACUUGGCCUAAAGCGAGCUCUGCUGGUGGCUCCGGGAGGAUGCGGAUUUAUCUUUCUGCUAUGGCUGACCUCGCGGUGAACCGCGCGCUGGGGACGGUUCUUUUUCUCUGCCUGGCAUUGUCUGCCUUGCUGUGCAACGCAUAAAGGACCCGAUUUGGACAUUUUAAUUGUGUUACAAUGGUGUAAUUUUCUCCCCAGACGUCACAAUGAUAAUGGCAUAGAAUAAUGGUUUUACUUACAUUACCUACACCACAAACUGUAAUGGAAAUAAAGUUACAUUUUGUUGCAUUGGCUAUUUGUUUACACGACUUUGUGAUAUAUGUCAACUAUUAGGUUGCUGGGCGGUGAAGGGGUGGAUGGGAAAUAUGGAUGGGGUCAAACCACGUCAAAUCACCAGAUGAGUCAGUUUGAAUUCAGUCGAUGUGUUGAUAUAAAGUCCUUUGAAGAUAAUUUUUUUCAGAUGUAUUCAUUGAAUUUCAAUAAAGAUUUUGAGAUUA